GAAAUGGAAACAAGGAAACUUCUCUUUGUAUACAUUUGCAACAAAGACAAUACUGAAGCUGCAACAGCAAUUGGUGACGGAAGUAGAAUGCUCUUUAAUAAAUAGAUAACUGACAUUCCCAGAAAUCUGUCAUCCCUUCACAAAGGAAGGUUAAGCAUUAAAGAUGGUUCUAUAUUCAGCU
Neogale vison (American mink) is the source of this 181-nucleotide long non-coding RNA. RefSeq lists it as uncharacterized. NCBI's taxonomy places the organism in Eukaryota, Metazoa, Chordata, Mammalia, Carnivora, Mustelidae. The record is from RefSeq and is a predicted model, not a curated record. The transcript is spliced from 3 exons.